CUUGGGACGCAGAGCCUUGUUCAGUUUUCUUCUAGGACUAGGAAGAGAGAGAGCUCAGAGGAUGCCUAGAGCAGAGAAAACGUCUACCGGAACUCUUAAU
This is a long non-coding RNA of Nanorana parkeri, 100 nucleotides long. RefSeq lists it as uncharacterized. The record is from RefSeq and is a predicted model, not a curated record. Lineage: Eukaryota; Metazoa; Chordata; Amphibia; Anura; Dicroglossidae. The transcript is spliced from 3 exons.